RNAcentral lists this small nucleolar RNA (92 nucleotides) under Cavia porcellus (domestic guinea pig). RNAcentral describes it as "Small nucleolar RNA U13". It matches the Rfam family "Small nucleolar RNA U13". Lineage: Eukaryota; Metazoa; Chordata; Mammalia; Rodentia; Caviidae. The record is from Rfam by way of RNAcentral.
AUUCUUUUGUUCAUGAGAGUAAUGAUUAGGUGUUCGUGGUGUAUGCAUGAAAUGUGCCUCCCUCAAGCCAUUGGCAUGUUACCCAUCUGACA